CAAAGGUUCCCUGAGUCCUUCUGUUGUGUAGUGAGUUCAGAGGCUACGAACACCCAAGCAAGACACACAGAUGAUUGAAGGCAGUCAGAGAUAGGGUCUCACUAUGUUGCCCAGAUGGGUGUUGAACUCCUAGACUCAAGCGAUCCUCCCGCCUCAUCCACCCAAAGUGCUGGGAUUACAGGUGUGAGCCACCUUGCCCAGUGUGCAAAGUACAUUUUUUAAAAAUAAGAAAACACCUUCCGUUGGUCCAGGAAUAUGUAUUGAGAUCCACUAGUGCCAGGCACUGGGCAAGGCUCUGGGGACGGGGUGAAGUUCCUGCUUUCCUGGGUCUGAAGCUCUAGCGGGGAACACAGGCGAUAAGCCCAGAAACAGAUGAAAAAAUACGGCGCAUUCCAGCGACGGUCAGGGCAGAAAGAGAUAAGAACUAAGAACGUCAAUGUUUGUUCUCGGGUUCAAAGAAGUCAGCGUCUUUGGCGGGAGCUGGGCCACCAUCGCCCGGACCACGCUGGGGUGCUAAGUGCUCACAUCCUCCCCAGCACUGUCCUCAACAGCCAAGAGGCAGGCACAGGGGAAAACCCACCAGCAACACCAGCACCACAGCGUCCACACCCGCCGAGGAUGCUGCACAAAAGGCCCAUGGACCAGGGUGCCUGGGGGCAGGGCAUGCUGGGCACCGUCCAUCUUCUGGCAGCUUCUGGUUAACCCGAAAAUCCUGUUUGGUUUUCCUGUGUCUUUUGAGAAUGUCACUCAAACCCCUGAAUCCUCUCUGUGAUCUAAGUGUCAUGAGGCCUGCAAAACCUCGCUUCCUGCAGCAGACUUCUCCGCUUCCUGGCCCCCAUGAAGACUGUUAUCCACAAGUAGCCAGAGGGAUUCUGUAAAAAUCAAAGUCAGGGCAGGGCCCUCCUCUGCUCAAAACCCUCCCAUGGCUCCCUACUUCACUCAGGGAGGAAGCCACGCCCAUAUUGUAGCCUCUUCCACCUCUCACACUCAUUGCACAGGCGGCCACCAAGCCCCUUUCUACCCCAGUGCCUUUGCACUUGCCACCCCCUUACUUCAUUGCAAUCCCUUCUUAGCAGAGAGGCUGACCCUGAAUUCCCUCCUGAAAUAGUGACCCUUCUCAAAUAAGUCUCCCCUCGCCUUGCCUUAUUUGUCUUCAUAUCUGUUCGUCACUACCUGACAUGUUAGAUAUUUAUUAUUUUCUCUCUUGCCGUUGGGCCUAAGUUCCCAGGGCCUCUCAUGUUUCUCCAGCGCCCAGAGGCUGACUGGCUUAUGGAGUGAGCGCAAUCAUUUCCUUUUGUGUGUGAAUAAAUGAAAGAAUCUUGGACCUGACCGCUUCAGACCAAGGGGUUUAGCCCAGGUCUCUGGGACAAUGAGGAUUCUUAAGGAUUUUUCACUGGGGAUUGACAGAACCAAUUGGUUUGGGAGAGAUCACUGCAGCUUCUGAAAGAAGCCACCUGUCCCAUGAGGGCAUGUGCCAUAUGGAAUACAGACAACUUGAUAUCAGUGCCCCCCUCCUCGGAGGGUGGGGGGAGGGGGGCGGGUGUUUCAGGAAUUAAAUCAGAAAAUAUUGGGAUGAGGCUUAGCCCUGUCCUUGGCGCACAGGAAGUACUCAGCCAGUGGUCAUGAUCAGCAUCAGCUGUAGCAUGAACGGACCAUGGAGACAGGUGGGCUUGC
RNAcentral lists this long non-coding RNA (1674 nucleotides) under Homo sapiens (human). Its description in RNAcentral is "HSALNT0268634". Lineage: Eukaryota; Metazoa; Chordata; Mammalia; Primates; Hominidae. The record is from RNAcentral.